ACAUGCCUACAACAUAGUGUUAAUGCACCAUAUCCCAUUAUAACUUCGCAGUUAAAAAUACUUAAGCUAGAGUAGUACUAGGAUGUGUGACCACUCUAGAAGUCCUAGUGUUUUACAUGCC
This is a non-coding RNA of Picea glauca (white spruce), 121 nucleotides long. The record is from Rfam. Lineage: Eukaryota; Viridiplantae; Streptophyta; Pinopsida; Pinales; Pinaceae.